UACGGGGGGAGCAAGCGUUGUUCGGAUUUACUGGGCGUAAAGGGCGCGUAGGCGGUCAGCACAAGUCGGUUGUGAAAUCUCCGAGCUUAACUCGGAAAGGUCAACCGAAACUGUGCGACUAGAGUGCAGAAGGGGCAACUGGAAUUCUCGGUGUAGCGGUGAAAUGCGUAGAUAUCGAGAGGAACACCUGCGGCGAAGGCGGGUUGCUGGGCUGACACUGACGCUGAAGCGCGAAAGCUAGGGGAGCGAACGGG
This 254-nucleotide ribosomal RNA is filed under the name uncultured bacterium. Its description in RNAcentral is "partial 16S ribosomal RNA". It matches the Rfam family "Bacterial small subunit ribosomal RNA", at positions 524 to 776 of the family's 1533-position model. The record is from RNAcentral.